RNAcentral lists this long non-coding RNA (262 nucleotides) under Trifolium pratense (red clover). Its description in RNAcentral is "long non-coding RNA (TPRA_LNC006094)". Lineage: Eukaryota; Viridiplantae; Streptophyta; Magnoliopsida; Fabales; Fabaceae. The record is from RNAcentral.
UCGGUGAAGGUGGAAAGUGGUGGCGCGUGAAUGGGGAAUGCGAAAAAGAUGAAAGGGAAACGAAGCAAGUUUUGUUUUUGUCUUUUUGAAGACGGUGGUGGUAAAAGGGUAAAAAGAGAAAGAUGAGGGGGGAAAGUGAAAAUAAAAUAAAUAAAAUGAGAGAGAAUGAAAGAGAGAAGAAGGUGGCGGAUUAUGUAAGAGGAAAAUGGAAAAUGAAAAUUAGGGCUAUUUCUUCUAAGUACUUGCCCAGUCAAAUACAAAC